AGUGAACGCUGGCGGUAGGCCUAACACAUGCAAGUCGAACGGCAGCACAGUAAGAGCUUGCUCUUACGGGUGGCGAGUGGCGGACGGGUGAGGAAUACAUCGGAAUCUACUUUUUCGUGGGGGAUAACGUAGGGAAACUUACGCUAAUACCGCAUACGACCUACGGGUGAAAGCAGGGGAUCUUCGGACCUUGCGCGAUUGAAUGAGCCGAUGUCGGAUUAGCUAGUUGGCGGGGUAAAGGCCCACCAAGGCGACGAUCCGUAGCUGGUCUGAGAGGAUGUACGCCCCACAGGGAAAUAAGGACGGGGCCGGGCCCCAAGGGGAGGAGGCGGUGGGGAAUUUGGGAAAAGGGGCGAAAACUUGACCCACCCUAACCGGGGGGGUGAAGAAGGCCUUCGGGUUUUAAACCCUUUUUUUUGGGAAAAAAAAGCAGCAGGUUAAUCCCCCGCUGUUUGGCCGGGACCCAAAGAAUAAGCCCCGGCUACCUGCGG
RNAcentral lists this ribosomal RNA (491 nucleotides) under uncultured bacterium. RNAcentral describes it as "partial 16S ribosomal RNA". It matches the Rfam family "Bacterial small subunit ribosomal RNA", at positions 29 to 506 of the family's 1533-position model. The record is from RNAcentral.